UGGGGAAUUUUGCACAAUGGGGGAAACCCUGAUGCAGCGACGCCGCGUGAUUUAGAAGGCCUUCGGGUUGUAAAAAUCUUUUCUAUGGGAAGAAAAUGACAGUACCAUAGGAAUAAGGACCGGCUAAUUACGUGCCAGCAGCCGCGGUAAUACGUAAGGUCCGAGCGUUGUCCGGAAUCAUUGGGCGUAAAGGGUACGUAGGCGGGUAAGCAAGUUAGAAGUGAAAUCCUAUAGCUCAACUAUAGUAAGCUUUUAAAACUGCUCAUCUUGAGGUAUGGAAGGGAAAGUGGAAUUCCUAGUGUAGCGGUGAAAUGCGCAGAUAUUAGGAGGAAUACCGGUGGCUGACGCGACUUUCUGGCCAUAACCUGACGCUGAGGUACGAUAGCGUGGGUAGCAAACAGG
RNAcentral lists this ribosomal RNA (402 nucleotides) under bacterium. RNAcentral's name for it is "partial 16S ribosomal RNA". It matches the Rfam family "Bacterial small subunit ribosomal RNA", at positions 355 to 776 of the family's 1533-position model. The record is from RNAcentral.